This is a non-coding RNA of Rodentibacter heidelbergensis, 303 nucleotides long. Lineage: Bacteria; Pseudomonadati; Pseudomonadota; Gammaproteobacteria; Pasteurellales; Pasteurellaceae. The record is from Rfam.
GUGUUGGGCUUGCUGUGGGCAGAUAAAAUGGAUAUGUGUAUCAAUUCCGCCUGCGGUAGCGAUUAAAUUAGCGCCAUUAUGCACUUCAGUACUCACACCGAUGAUCAUAUUUGGGGUAACGCCAUCCAUUGUAUCAGGGUUACCCGCCUGACCAAUUCCCACAAUACGUCCGUCACGAAUACCGAUAUCUGCUUUGAUAAUGCCAAGUUUGGCAUCAAUAAUCAUCACAUUAGUAAUAACAAAAUCUAAUACAUUAGGAUCAUCACGGGUUGCGGUGCCUGAUUGCGCCAUGCCGUCACGCAC